This 18848-nucleotide long non-coding RNA is filed under the name Populus tremula. Its description in RNAcentral is "long non-coding RNA (PTRE_LNC002632)". Lineage: Eukaryota; Viridiplantae; Streptophyta; Magnoliopsida; Malpighiales; Salicaceae. The record is from RNAcentral.
CACGGAGAUCACUUUCGAAGAGAAAGGGAACGAAAGACCAAAUGUAACACCUGCUGAUGUUGUCUUCAUUGUUGAUGAAAAACCCCACUCUGAGUUCACUCGUGAUGGAAAUGACUUGAUCGUCACUCGAAGGAUUUCUGUAGCUGAAGCCUUUACAGGCUACACUGUCCAUCUUACAACCUUGGAUGGCAGGAGUUUAACCUUUCCGAUCAACGAUGUGAUCCAUCCCAACUAUCAGAAGGUUGUCCCGAAUGAAGGGAUGCCGAUCCCCGGCGACCCAACAAAGAGAGGGAUUUUGAAAAUCAAGUUUGAUAUCAGGUUCCCAACAAGGGUUAAUGCAGAGCAGAAGGCAGGAAUCAGGAGACUCUUUGGUCCUUGAGAUCUCUAUAUCAGCAUGUGAGACAUAUCCUAUGUGAAGGAAGCCUUUGGAUUGGUAUCCUCUUGCUGCAGUUUGUGAUAAAUUGCAGUGGUAUUUGACAGUUUCAGACUUUUAAAUUGUGUUGUGUGUGUGUGUUGUGUGUGUGAAGUAUGAAAUCUUUCUGAGAUGUUUAAUGUAGGGUUUGGCCAACUUCUUAAUUAUGGUAUCAAUUAUGGAAAAUGCUUCCCCUUGAUUGGUGUUGAAUUCUUCCUUUCUUCAGUUCAAAAGGUCGAGCAUGGAGAGCAUUUCCCUCCGGCCAUAUCCUGAAACAUGAGUCAAAACACAGGUUUUAUAUAACAGUUUUUACAUAAUUUUUGGUUUUUUAACCAAGCUUCAUAAAUAUUAUUUAUUCAUCUAUUUUUUAUUAUUUGUAAAAAAAUCAAAAUAUUUUAUUUAAAUAUUUUAUACAUGUUUCCAUUACAAAUAAAUUUUAACUAUAAUUUUUAUCAAAUAUCGAAAUCCAACUAUAUAUAAUUAAAAAUAAUUUUUUAAAACCACAACCAUAAAAAUUAUCUAAAAAACAAAUACACCCUUAAAUAUUCUCCCCUUCAUAAACUAGCCUCACGACCCCCUUUUAACUCUGAAUCUCUAGCAAUUUAAAGGAAAAACUAGAGGUAGUUUUGAAAGAAAACCCUCCCCCCUCCUUCCAAUAGCUGCCGUCGGCCUCCCUCACAGAUAAAAGCAAGGUUGACUAUUUUGUAAUCCUAUUUUAGCCCCCAUUCAAUCUUUUAUUUCUCCCUUAGCUCUACCCUUAAUCCUUAAGAAUAUAAAUAUUAUAAUUUAUCCCCAUUUCAAUUUUUUAUUCCAAUUAACUCCUAAAACUAACCUUCCUCUUCUUUUUUUAUUUAUUCUUUUUCUUUAUUACCACGGAACAUUUUCAUUAUUUUUGUCGUUAUUAUUAUGGAGGUUUAUACGCAGUGUUAUAUAUUAAGGUUUUUUUUAACAUGAACAAUAAGCUAUACAGUAUGAUCAAUAUAAAAGAAAAUUAAAAACCAAAACAUUAAAAAAAAACGAAUUCAAAAGACAAAUCAAAUUAAAUUUGAUAAAUCAAGACACAUUUAUUUAUUUAGACCAAACUCGAUCUGAUGUCAUGGGUCUAAUCAACGACUCUACUUGGUCUCCGUUAUCUUAUUUGAUAUUGACUAUAAAGGACAAGCAAACGAGGCAUUCACAUGCUCCUAUCUUUUUCAAUGUUUUCUUCCACAUCACAUAGCCAACAAGUCUGUUAUUAUUAUUUGGAAAUAUGUACGAGAGAGUAUUCUAAAUCAUUAAUGAUUACUAUAAAAAAUUAAAAAUAAUUAAUGAUAUCAGAGUUUUACUAAUAAGAACAAAGACGAGUCGGAAAUUUACCAACUUAAUCUUUUAAUUAAAUAAAUUAAUUGAAGAAAAAAAAGGUAAGCGUUGUAGUUUGUGUCUUCUAAGCAAAUCGUUUUCAAAUAGUUCCACCGAGUCCAACAACUUAAGCUUUAUGUUGUGCCUGGCCAAUCACUGUCCUUCAAUUCUCCACCACUUUAGAGUAUGAGAGACACUUUUUUUAUAUAUAAUUAAUAUAUAUAUCUUUAUUUUGUUCACAUAUUUUAAAAUUAAUAAUUAUGUAAAUGUUUAGUGUUUUAAAAUUUAUAAAACUUAAAUUAAUUAUUUUUAAAAAAUAAAUAUAUAAUACGACUAGUAGAAUUUACUUUUCCCUUUCCUUUCCUUUAAGAGCAGUUGCAUGACAUAGAAGAGUUCUCUUUGCCUUUCUUUCAUCCACCUUCUAUCAACGAGAUGACUAGUCAGGGUAGGUCAGCUGAUGAUCUCUUUGCUGAAUUUUUCGGGUCUAAUAGCCCAAACCAAAACAGGAGAGGAACAGGGAUCUCCAGUAGGUCAGCUGAUGAUAUCUUUGCUGAAUUUUUCGGGUCUAAUAGCCCAAACCAAAACAGGAGAGGAACGGGGAUCUCCAGUAACAUAAAUGGCGAUGAUAAUGAUAUCUCAAGAUCCUUUGAACAAAGCUUCGAGGUUAGUGCUCCUGGAAAAGAUCCUGCAAUUAAGCACACCCUGCCUUGUAGUCUUGAAGAGCUUUAUCAAGGGGCUACCAAGAGGGUAAAAAUAACUAGACAAGUAGCUGAUCGAAGGGGGUAAGUGUCCUCAACAUCACCUCUUUGGUCCUGUUUUAUGGUCAACUAGUCCUGCUUUAUGGUCAACUGGCUCUGUUUUAUGGUCAACUGCUCUGUAGUUUUGAUCAAACAUGUUGACUCUGAUCACUGGUCCUGGACUUGAUAUGCUUUCCUGUUGUCAAAGAUUUGUGUGAGAUAGUUAUUUUUCAUCAUUUUACAGUCUUCUGAAAGUUCCAAGAGCUUUGUUAAUGGUGUUUCUUGUGCUCUUUCUUUUUUGUGGGAUGGAGCGCAGCUUGACCAGGAAAACAGAGGAGAUUCUAACCAUUGACACAAAGCCUGGUUGGAAGAAAGGCACGAAGAUCACUUUCGAAGAGAAAGGGAACGAAAGACCAAAUGUAACACCUGCUGAUGUUGUCUUCAUUGUUGAUGAAAAACCCCACUCUGAGUUCACUCGUGAUGGAAACGACUUGAUCGUCACUCGAAGGAUUUCUGUAACUGAAGCCUUUACUGGCUACACUGUCCAUCUUAUUACCUUGGAUGGCAGGAAUUUAAGCCUUCCGAUCAAUGAUGUGAUCCAUCCCAACUAUCAGAAGGUUGUCCCGAAUGAAGGGAUGCCGAUCCUCGGCGAGCCAACAAAGAGAGGGAUUCUGAAAAUCAAGUUUGAUAUCAGGUUCCCAGCAAGGGUUAAUGCAGAGCAGAAGGCAGGAAUCAGGAGACUCUUUGGUCCUUGAGAUCUCUAUGUCAGCAUGUGAGACAUCUCCUAUGGGAAGGAAGCCUUUGAUUGGUAUCCUCUAGCUGCAGUUUGCGUUUGUGUUUGUGUUUGUGUUUGUGUUUGUGUUUGUGUCUGUGUCUGUGUGUCUGUGUGAAGCAUGGCAUCUUUCUGAGAUGUUGAAUGCAGGGUUUGACCAUCUUCUUCAUAAUGUUCUUAAUGAAAACUGGUUUCCCUUGAUUGCUGUUGAAUCUUUCCUUUCUUGACAGUAAAAGGUACAACUUGAAAGAGCAUUUACUUCAUUUAAUUUCUAUGAUAAAAACUUGUGCCGAUGGAUGAGAUUCAAAAAUAUAUAAUUUAUAUAAUUGUUUUAUGUUAUUGAAUAUCUGUGUUCGAUCAAAAAAUACUUGAUUGCAUGAUCUAUUGUAAUUUAUAUACUCUUGAAUUAUAAUUGUGAAAUUGGUUUUACCUAAUAUUAAUUAGACUGAUUCAAUUUCUGGUUUAGAUCAAAGUUAAUUUGAUUUGAUUGACCAAAUAAAUUAACUUAUAAUCAGGUUAAAAUCUAAUUUAAUUUUAAAAAAUUCUUCAAAAUAUUUUUGUUUUGGAUUGAUCUACGUAGAAACCGUGACUUGAGCGUAUUCCGAGCUAAAUUUAGUAACUUGGUCCUGAAUACAACAAAAGAUAAUCAAGUCGAUUCAAGGGUAUAGACCCAACCAUUAGCAAAAGGACCAAACUAGAGAAAGAUCUAUUUGGCAUUGCGUUCCAAACGGUGUUUCAUCAAAUUUCAAAAAAAAAAUUUUUUUUUUUUGUUAAAAUUGAGUGUGGUUUGUAUUUUUUAAAUCGUUUUGAUGUGCUGAUGUCAAAAAUGAUUUUUAAAAAAUGAAAAAACAUCAUUGGCAUGUAUUUCGGCAUGAAAAGCUAUUUAAAAAGCAAUCACUACCACACUGCUAAACACGCUCUAAAAGUACAAGGAUGGAUUUAAUAGCAACACAAAGCAAGGUACAAUAAAGAAUAGAGGUGCAAAUUUAACACUAACCCAACUCCUAAACACCACAAACCCCCAAAAAUUACUACUCUACCUCCACCAUCAUCACAUCACCAUAAAUUAACAGAACAAGAGCGAGCGAGCAAAGCACCCCAAAGUACUAGUUCAUUGAAUAAGGACCAAAGUUAAUAUAAAAAUAAAAUUUUAAGAGAUGAAAUUGAAAAAUAAAUAUUUAAAACAAAAUAUAUAUAACAAUCAAAAGUUUGAGGAUCAAAUUUGAUAUAAUCAGCAAAUAAUAACAUUUCUAAAUUUUUCACAAUUUCCGGAAAGUGUUUUCCCCCUAAAUUUUUCAGGAAAACACUUUCCUGAAAACCAAGCCAAAUUUUUCUUUUACUGGAAAAUGUUUUGCAUUGACCAACUUUCUUAAUUACAAACAAACACAAAAAAAUUUGAAAAAUGAUUUCCCGGAAACCACUUUCCGGGAAACAAACACAGUAAAAGGGAAAACACUUUUCUGAAAACCAAGCCAAAUUUUUCUUUGAUUGAAAUUGACUGGAAAGUGUUUUCCGUUGACCGAAAAGUAUUUUUCAUUAACCAACUUUCUUAAUAAUAAACAAAUACAUAAAAGUUUGGAAAAUAAUUUUUCAAAAACUACUUUUUAAAAAACAAACAUGUCCCUCGUUGAUGUAUUCUUCAGUAUGUAUGAGAUGGAUACAUUGAAUUUCUUGACCUUGGAACUACAGCAGCUGCUGUUCUAAUAUAGUACAUCCUUGUAAUGGCGGAUUUUCUGAAUCCAUUAUCCAAAAUGUAGCUUUUCAUCACUUUUCUUUAAUGCCAUAGUAAAUGUGUUUGUUAAUGCAAUUCACUGAAAAAUCAUAUCAUUGAUGGGCUAGCUUGACUUUGUUUCUUGAUAUUGAUGUACCUCGUCAGCCACUCGAAAGCAAACAAGAAAUCACACUAUUAUCUGUAAGGUUGUGUGGUUAGUGUUUCAAAAAAAAAAUGAUAUAAAAAGAUUAAAAAAAAAAAAGUGUCUGAUCGAAGAAAUUAAGACAAAAUCAUAAAAUAAAUAUAUUUUUAUUAUAGUUUUAAGUAAAUCUAUGUAUUUUUAAAAUAAAAAAUACAAUAAAACAUGUCACAUCUAUCCUAACUUAAUUUGAAAUUAUCACAAGAAAACAUGUCAUUAUAUAAUAAUCAAACUCUAACUUAAUUUUAUCUUAUGCUAUGCCCUUUAAGAAUUUCAACAUUUUCAGUAAGCAUUUUAAGCAAGGAGUUAGACUGUCGUUUUUCCAUGGAGCUUUACCAUGUAAUGCUCAGCCCCUGAUAAAAAUUAAGAACAAUCAAGCAUCAAAGCACACAGAAUUUGAACAGAAAAUCAAGGCACUGAUAAAAAUAUAAAAUGCACUCAUGUUGCCUGCAAUGCUAGGAUUUCUAACCUAAUAAUUGGGUUUCAUUAUAACAUUAUCAGGAUUAUCUAUCUUUAUAAUAUUUAAUUUAUAAUUUAAUAGGUUUAGUGUUAUUAAAGUUGGCUAUUUAUCCAUUUUGUGCAUAAUAAUCUCAAAUAGCUUUAUUUUUGGUACUUGGAACUGUAGUUUUGGGGUUUAUGCGUGUUCCUUCCAAUUUCCCAAAAGUGAAACUCCUGGUUAAUCGUACAUUUCACCCUUUAAUCUUGAAAUUUUGUUAAUGCAGUCCUUUUACUCUCUUUGUUUUUUGCUUAAGUCCAUUUUUAUUACUCUGAAUACAUCAUAUGAAGAUUUUAGUAAUAAAAACGAUGAGGAGUCUAAUUGAUCUUACCCUCUUAAUCUUCUAAUUAAAUAAAUUAAUUGAAGAAAAACUUCAGCAUAAUUAAAUUGUGAGGGAGAAUGGUAUAAAAUUCAUUUCACAGCUUAAUUUCCACAGAGUCCAACAACUUCGGCUUUAAGGUAUGCCUUUAUUUGCAAGGCAUUCACUGUCCUUCAAUUUUCCCACAGCUAAAAGCAUAGGACAGUUACUUUUCCUUCAAGGAGAGCUGUUGCGUGACACUGAGCUGCAAGAACUCUCUUUGCCUUCCUCUCUCAUCAAACUUCUAUCAAGGAAAAAUGUUCUCCACUAACAAUAGCCCAGAUCAAAACCGGAGAGGAACGAUGUUCUCCACUGAUAGUAUCCCAAAAUCAAAACUGGGGUGGAACAAUCUUCUCCAAUAACGUAUAUGGUGAUGAUGAUGAUAUCGUUAGAGCUUUUGCACAACGUUUCGGGGUUAGUGCUAAAGAUCCUGCAAUUAAGCACACCCUGUCUUGUAGUCUUGAAGAGCUUUAUCAAGGGGCUACCAAGACGGUAAAAAUAACUAGACAAGUAGCUGAUCGAAGGGGGUAAGUGUCCUAAACAUCACCUCUUUGGUCCCGUUUUAUGUUCAGCUGCUCUGUAGUUUUGAUCAAACAUGUUGACUCUGAUCACUAGUCCUGGGCUUGAUAUGCUUUCCUGUUGUCAAAGAUUUGUGUGAGAUAGUUAUUUUUCAUCAUUUUACAGUCUUCUGAAAGGUUCAAGAGCUUUGUUAAUGGUGUUUCUUGUGCUCUUUCUUUUUUGUGGGAUGGAGCGCAGCUUGAUCACCAGGAAAAUAGAGGAGAUUCUAACCAUUGACACAAAGCCUGGUUGGAAGAAAGGCACGAAGAUCACUUUCGAAGAGAAAGGGAACGAAAGACCAAAUACAACACCUGCGGAUGUUGUCUUCAUUGUUGAUGAAAAACCCCACUCUGAGUUUACUCGUGAUGGAAACGACUUGAUCGUCACUCGAAGGAUUUCUGUAACUGAAGCCUUUACAGGCUACACUGUCCAUCUUACAACCUUGGAUGGCAGGAAUUUAAGCCUUCCGAUCAAUGAUGUGAUCCAUCCCAACUAUCAGAAGGUUGUCCCGAAUGAAGGGAUGCCGAUCCUCGGCGACCCAGCAAAGAGAGGGAUUUUGAAAAUCAAGUUUGAUAUCAGGUUCCCAACAAGGGUUAAUGCAGAGCAGAAGGCAGGAAUCAGGAGACUCUUUGGUCCUUGAGAUCUCUAUAUCAGCAUGUGAGACAUAUCCUAUGUGAAGGAAGCCUUUGGAUUGGUAUCCUCUUGCUGCAGUUUGUGAUAAAUUGCAGUGGUAUUUGACAGUUUCAGACUUUUAAGUUGUGUUAUAUAUAUAUAUGAAGUAUGAAAUCUUUCUGAGAUGUUUAAUGUAGGGUUUGGCCAACUUCUGUGUCGAUGGAAAAUGCUUCCCCUUGAUUGGUGUUGAACUCUUCCUUUCUUCAGUUCAAAAGGUCGAGCAUGGAGAGCAUUUCCCUCCGGCCAUAUCCUGAAACAUGAGUCACUUCCCUGUAAAUGACACCUUCCAGGAUUUCCUCCUUCCCAUCCCUAACAUCACUAUCUGUCAAACAGUGAAAUAAAACUGAGAUAUGAUUAUAUUAUUUAUUAACAUAUAUUUUAAGUUUUAAUUAUUAAAACAUAUAUUUUUAAGUACGUUUUUAUCUUGAAAUUUAUAUAAAUUUAUAUUAAAUAUCAUAUCAAAGAAUUAAUUUAAUUUAAAAUUUUAAAAUAUAAUUUAUAUUAUUUUAUUUUGCUACUUAAUUCAAUAUGUUAAAAUAUAAAAGCAAUAUGUCCCAACAUAACUCAUUCAUUUUUUUAUUUCUUUCUUUUCCUUGAAGUUAGUUGAAAUAUAAAAAGAAACAUAGUCUCUUUUAGGAAUGCCUUUUUUUUCAUUUCACAUUAUCCUUUUGUUAUACCAUCGUAACUCAAAUCAAAAUACUGUUUACAUCACUGAUUCAAUCUAAAGAACUCCCCAAUUUUUUUCUUAGUUUGGUUGGCCACCUUCAUCACAGGCCACCAUGAUUUCCUUACCUCUCUCCUUCUUCCUUUGCUUUUCUCUCGCUACAAUUCACUUUCCUUCUCUCCAACCCCUCUUGAUUUGAUGUUUAAGACUUUGUUUGUGUUCUGCUAACUUUCACGUUAACAGUGAAUUAAACACAACAACAUAUUUGGUAUUAAAGAGUUUUAUACUGCGAAAACCAUUAAAAAAUUAAGUUCAAAAUGUAAGUUUUGUAUAGUAUUUUUUAUAUAUUUUUUUAAUUGAGUUUCAUAAUUAUUUUUUAUUAGUCUUCUUUUUAUUGUUUGCACAAAAACCAUAAUAUUUUAUCCAAACAUUUUAUAUAUGUGUUUUGUUAUACAUAAAUUUUAAUCACAGUUUUUAUUAAAUAUAUAUCUAAAUUUAAUUAAUUAUAAUUAAAAAUAUUUUUUAAAAAAUUUACUUUUUUUUAACACAGUGACAAAAAUAACCUAAAAAACAAAGGGUGUUCUCCCCUUCGUAAACUAGCCUCACGACCCCCUUUAACUCUCAAUCUCUAGCAAUUUAAAGGAAAAACUAGAGGUAGUUUUGAAAGGAAACCCUCCCCCCUUCUUCCAAUAGCUGCCGUCGGCCUCCCUCACAAAUAAAAGCAAGGUUGACUAUUUUGUAAUCCUAUUUUGGCCCCCAUUCAAUCUUUUAUUUCUCCCUUAGCUCUUUCCUUAAUCCUUAAGAAUCUAAAUAUUAUAAUUUAACCCCAUUUCAAUUUUUUAUUCCAAUUAACUCCUAAAACUAACCUUCCUCUUCUUUUUUUAUUUAUUCUUUUUUAUUAUUAUUAUUACCACGGAACAUUUUCAUCAUUGUUGUCAUUAUGACUAUCGAGGCUUAUGUGCAUUGCUAUAUAUUAAGGUUUUUUUAACAUGAUCAAUAAGCUAUACAAUAUGAUCAAUAUAAAAGAAAAUUAAAAACCAAAGAAUUAAAAAAAAAUGAAUUCAAAAGACAAAUCAAAUUAAAUUUGAUAAAUCAAGACACAAUUAUUUAUUUAUACCAAACUCGGUCUGAUGUCAUGGGUCAAUUCAAAGACUCUCCUCGAUCUACGUUAUCUUAUUUGAUAAAGACUAUAAGAGACAAGCAAACGAGGCAUUCGCACGUAGCUAUCUUUUUCAAUGUUUUCUUCCACAUCACAUGGGCAACAAUUAUCAAUGAGAUGCAAGCAAAUAAACUAUUUAGUAUGCUUUCUUUUUAUGUUUUAAAAAAAAAAUUAUUUUUUUAUUUUAAAUUAAUAAUUUUUAAAUAUUUUUAAAUCAUUUAAAUGUGCUAAUAUCAAAAAUAAAUUUUAAAAAAACAUUAUGUUUAUAUUUUUUAAAAUAAAAAAUAUUUUAAAAAAUAAUUACAACAACACUUUCAAACAAGCUGAAAUCCAAACCAUCUACGCUAAUAUUACUAUUGGGAAAUCUGUAUGAGAGAAUAUUCUAAAUCAUUAAAGAUUACUGCAAAAAUAAUUAAUGAUAUCGGAGUUUUACUAAUGAAAACAGUGUUGGUCUGGUGGUUAAGAUACUGUUAUAUCUCUGCAAGGGUAAGAAUACAAGUUCGAGCUCUAGAAAGCGUACUUAUUGAGAGUGGCAGUCACGAACCUCAAACGAGAAUAGUUUUACCUUUUAAAAAAGUGUGAAAAUACCGGAAUAAAAAAAAAACCAAAGAAAAGUCUGAAAUUUACCAACUUAAUCUUUUAAUUAAAUAAAUUAAUUGAAGAAAAAAAGGUAAGUGUUGGAGUUUGUGUCUCCUAAGCAAAUCAUAACAACUUAAGCUUUAUGUUGUGCCUCGCCAAUCACCGUCAUUCAACAAUUUCUCCACCACUUAAAAGUACGAGAGGUACGUAGGACAAUUACUUUUCCUUUUCCUUUAAGAGCAGUUGCGUUGCACUGAGCUAGAACAAUUCUCUUCAUCCACCUUCUAUCAACGAGAUGACUAGUCAGAGUAGGGCAACAGCUGAUGGUGUCUUUGCUGAAUUUUUCGGGUCUAAUAGCCCAAAUCAAAACAGGAGAGGAACAGUGUUCCCCAGUUACAGAAAUAAUGAAAAUGAUAUCUUUAGAAUCUUUGAGCGAGGCUUCGUGGUUAGUGCUCCUGGAAAAGAUCCUGCAAUUAAGCACACCCUGCCUUGUAGUCUUGAAGAGCUUUAUCAAGGGGCUACCAAGAGGGUAAAAAUAACUAGACAAGUAGCUGAUCGAAGGGGGUAAGUGUCCUAAACAUCACCUCUUUGGUCCUGUUUUAUGUUCAACUAGUGUCAACUGGUCCUGUUUUAUGGUCAACUGCUCUGUGGUUUUGAUCAAACAUGUUGACUCUGAUCAGUGGUCCUGGACUUGAUAUGCUUUCCUGUUGUCAAAGAUUUUUGUGAGAUAGUUAUUUUUCAUCAUUUUACAGUCUUCUGAAAGGUCCAAGAGCUUUGUUAAUGGUGUUUCUUGUGCUCUUUCUUUGUUGUGGGAUGGAGCGCAGCUUGACCAGGGAAAUAGAGGAGAUUCUAACCAUUGACACAAAGCCUGGUUGGAAGAAGGGCAAGGAGAUCACUUUCGAAGAGAAAGGGAACGAAAGACCAAAUCUAACACCUGCUGAUGUUGUCUUCAUUGUUGAUGAAAAACCCCACUCUGAGUUUACUCGUGAUGGAAACGACUUGAUCGUCACUCGAAGGAUUUCUGUAACUGAAGCCUUUACUGGCUACACUGUCCAUCUUACAACCUUGGAUGGCAGGAAUUUAACCCUUCCGAUCAAUGAUGUGAUCCAUCCCAACUAUCAGAAGGUUGUCCCGAAUGAAGGGAUGCCGAUCCUCGGCGACCCAACAAAGAGAGGGAUUUUGAAAAUCAAGUUCGAUAUCAGGUUCCCAACAAGGAUUAAUGCAGAGCAGAAGGCAGGAAUCAGGAGACUCUUUGGUCCUUGAGAUCUCAAUAUCAGCAUGCGAGACAUAUCCUAUGUGAAGGAAGCCUUUGGAUUGGUAUCCUCUUGCCGCAGUUUGCGUUUGUGUUUGUGUUUGUGUGUCUGUGUGAAGCAUGGCAUCUUUCUGAGAUGUUGAAUGCAGGGUUUGACCAUCUUCUUCAUAAUGUUCUUAAUGAAAACUGGUUUCCCUUGAUUGUUGUUGAAUCUUUCAUUUCUUGACAGUAAAAGGUACAACUUGAAAGAGCAUUUACUUCAUUUAAUUUCUCAUAUCAUGAUAAAAACUUGUGCCGAUGGAUGAGAUUCAAAAAUAUAUUAUUUAUAUUAUUUUUUUAUGUUAUUGAAUAUCUGAGUUCUAUCAAAAAAUACUUGAUUGCAUGAUCUAUUGUAAUUUAGACUGCAUCAGAAAAAAAAAUUAUAUACUCUUGAAUUAUAAUUGUGAAACUUGUUUGACCUAAUAAGUCAAUUAGGCUGAUCUAAUUUCUAGUUUAGAUCGAAGUUAAUUUGAUUUGAUCUGACUUAAUUAAUAAAUAAAUUAACUUAUAAUUCAGUUAAAAUCUAAUUUAAUUUUCAAAAAUUCUUCAAAAUAUUUUUGUUUUGGAUUGAUAUGUAGAAACCGUGACUUGGGCGUAUUCCAAGCUGAAUUUAGUAAUCUAGUCCUGAAUACAACAAAAGAUAAUCAAGUCGAUUCAAGGGCAUAGACCCAACCAUUAGCAAAAGGACCAAACUAGAGAAAUACUAAAAGUAUAAGGAUAUAUUUAACAGCAGCACAAAGCAAGGUACAAUAAAGAAUAGAGGUGCAAAUUUAGCACUAACCCAACUCCUAAACACCACAAACCCCCAAAAAUUACUACUCUACCUCCACCAUCAUGACAUCACCAUAAAUUAACAGAACAAGGGCGAGCGAGCAAAGCACCCCAAAGCACUGGUUCAUUGACAUCUUGAUUGAUCUCCGUUGCAGUGAAGGUGAUAUAUAGCUUUGCACAGGCACUGAUUCCUCUAUAAAUACAUGAACUUCAAUUACUUAGUAGUGCAGUUAAAGGACAUACGAUGUAAGAAACAUGAGCUUCCCUGUAAUAAAACCUGUUGUUGCCUGUACCUUCCUCUCGGUUCCUUCUCCUUCUUCUGUAACCCUAGCUCGGAGAAGGUUACAUUGAGAAAUUCAGUAUUUCGCAUGCAUCAACAAUACUCUAAGAACUAUAAGGUUAUUUCUCUAGUCACUGAAAUCUGAAAAAGAAGAUUCGGAGCAAUAAUCUGGAUCCCCAUUUUGCUCUCCAUCUCUCUCCCUGGUUCCAUCCCCGUCCAAGUCCUCGUUGAUGUAUUCUUCAUUAUGUAUGAGAUGGAUACAUUGAAUUUCUUGACCCUUGGAACUACAGCAGCUGCUGUUCUAAUAUAGUAACAUCCUUGUAAUGGCGGAUUUUCUGAAUCCAUUCACUAAAAUGUAGCUUUUCAUCACUUUUCUUUAAUGCCAUAGUUUAUGUGUUUGUUAAUGCAAUUCACUGAAAAAAUCAUUGAUGGGCUAGCUUGACUUGUUUCUUGAUAUCGAUGCACCUCGUCAGCCACUCGAAAGCAAAUAAAUGUCGGUGUGAAUGGAAAGUUACUUUGUUGAAAUUUCUAAACCAAGAUAUGUAAGUUAGAACUCUAUUUAAAAUAGAGUUGUGGUUUUUUUAAACUAUAGAUAUAUCUUUUGUUUUAAAAAGUUAACGUUAUUAACAUUCGUGACAUUGUUUUAAAUAGUGUGUUAGAAAGAAUAUUAAAAAGAAAAUUGCUAGUAUUUCUAAAACUCUUAUUUUUUUUUAUCUUGUUAAUGUAUUUAGAGUAUGGUUGCGGUUGUUUUUUAAAAUGUUUCUCAUGCUAAAAUGUAUUAAAAUAAUAUUAUUUUAUUUUAUUAAAAAUUAUUUUUGAGAUCAAAAUAAUUCAAAAUAUAAAAAAAAUUAUUUUUUAGAACCCGGGUUAGCCCGCGUUUCCAAACUCUAUAUUAAAAUCACUCCACUACUUCAAAUAACAUAUAAAUAUUCGUUAUUAAGAUAUUAAUAAUAAGAGAUUGAAUAUAUUUGAAAAACAAUUUUGCAAUUAUAUUGUUAGCACCUCGGAAUAAAUUGUUUUUAAGAUACUAGAUCAUGUCAAUCUUAAAACAACUUAAAGUAUUCCGACAAUGAAUUUCAUUGCAAGCAGGGAAAAAACACAAGAAAUCACAAUAUUAUCUGUUAGAUUGUGUGGUUAGUGUUUUAAAAAAAAUGGUAUAAAAAAGAUAAAAAUGUGUCUGGUGAAAGAAAUUAAGACAAAAACAUAAAAUAAAUAUAUUUUUAGUAUAGCUUUAAGUAAAUCUAUGUAUUUUUAAAAUAAAAAAUACAAUAAAACAUGUCAUAUCUAUCCUAACUUAAUUUGAAAUUAUCACAAGAAAACAUGUCAUUAUAUAAUAAUCAAACACUAACUUAAUUUUAUCUUAUGCUGCCCUUUAAGAAUUUCAACAUUUUCAGUAAGCAUUUUAAGCAAGGAGUUAGACUGUCGUUUUUCCAUGGAGCUUUACCAUGUAAUGCUCAGCCCCUGAUAAAAAUUAAGAACAAUCAAGCAUCAAAGCACACAGAAUUUGAGCAGAAAAUCAAGGCGCUGAUGAUAAAAAUAUAAAAUGCACUCAUGUUGCCUGCAAUGCUAGGAUUUCUAACCUAAUAAUUGGGUUUCAUUAUAACAUUAUCAGGAUUAUCUAUCUUUAUAAUAUUUUAUUUAUAAUUUAAUAGGUUUAGUUUUAUUAAAGUUGGCUAUCCAUUUUGUGCGUAAUAAUCUCAAAUAGCUUUAUUUUUGGUACUUGAAACUGUAGUUUUGGGGUUUAUGCGUGUUACUUAUAAUUUCCCAAAAGUGAAACUCCUGGUUAAUCGUACAUUUCACCCUUUAAUCUUGAAAUUUUGUUAAUUCAGUCCUUUAUUUUUUUUUGCUUAAGUUCAUUUUUAUUACUCUGAAUACAUUAUAAUAUGGUAUCAAAAAGUUUUGGUAGUUGAUGACAUGAUUUAUUGAAAUUUAGAUUGGAUCAAAUAAGAAAUAAUUAAAAAAAAUUAUAUGUUUUUAAAACAGAUGUUGUUAAAAAAAAAAAAACUCUAAGUAAACUACACAAUAUAAUCAAUAUAAAAGAAAGUAAAAAAAAAAUUCAAAAAAUAAAUCAAGAAGGAAAGGAAAAAAUACAUCAUUGAUAAAAUUAUUAGAGAAUAAUAUAAAUUAUAUAUUAGAACCUCAUCUAACAACUUAAGCAAUUGAGUUAAGAUGUUUAUUUGACAUAAUAUCAUAGCCUUAAUGAUCAAGCGGUCACGGGUUCGAAUCUCAUCAUCUAUAUUUAUUUAAUAAAAAUUAAACACAAAAUAAUGUGAGUUAUACAAGUUUCAAGUAUAAAGAGUUUUCACUCGAGGGAAUUUGUGAAUUCUAUCGUUACAUCAUUUCAUUUAUUUUAUCCAUACCAUCAACUUUGUUAUCUAAUCUUUAUGCGUAAAUCUUUAAAAUCAUUAGUGAUUAAUAUAAAAAUCAUUCUAGAAUUUUUAUUCUAAACUUUGGAUUUUAAGUUUAGGUAUUUUAACAUCAUAUGAAGAUUUUACUAAUAAAAACGACGAGGAGUCUAAUUAAUCUUACCCUCUUAAUCUUCUAAUUAAAUAAAUUAAUUGAAGAAAAACUUCAGCAUAAAUUGUGAGGGAGAAUGGUAUAAAAUUCAUUUCACAGCUUAAUUUCCGCACAGUCCAAAAACUUAGGCUUCAAGGUAUGCCUUUAUUUGUAAGGCAUUCACUGUCCUUCAAUUUUCCUACAACUAAAAGCAUAAGACAGUUACUUUUCCUUCAAGGAGAGCUGUUGCGUGACACUGAGCUGCAAGAACUCUCUUUGCCUUCCUCUCUCAUCAAACUUCUAUCAAGGAAAAAUGUUCUCCACUAACAAUAGCCCAGAUCAAAACCGGAGAGGAACGAUGUUCUCCACUGAUAGUAUCCCAAAUCAAAACUGGAGUGGAACAAUCUUCUCCAAUAACGUAUAUGGUGAUGAUGAUGAUAUCGUUAGAGCUUUUGCACAACGUUUCGGGGUUAAUGCUAAAGAUCCUGCAAUUAAGCACACCCUGUCUUGUAGUCUUGAAGAGCUUUAUCAAGGGGCUACCAAGAGGGUAAAAAUAACUAGACAAGUAGCUGAUCGAAGUGGGUAAGUGUCCUAAACAUCACCUCUUUGGUCCCGUUUUAUGUUCAGCUGCUCUGUAGUUUUGAUCAAACAUGUUGACUCUGAUCACUGGUCCUGGUCUUGAUAUGCUUUCCUGUUGUCAAAGAUUUGUGUGAGAUAGUUAUUUUUCAUCAUUUUACAGUCUUCUGAAAGGUCCAAGAGCUUUGUUAAUGGUGUUUCUUGUGCUCUUUCUUUUUUGUGGGAUGGAGCGCAGCUUGAUCACCAGGAAAAUAGAGGAGAUUCUAACCAUUGACACAAAGCCUGGUUGGAAGAAAGGCACGAAGAUCACUUUCGAAGAGAAAGGGAACGAAAGACCAAAUAUAACACCUGCUGAUGUUGUCUUCAUUGUUGAUGAAAAACCCCACUCUGAGUUUACUCGUGAUGGAAACGACUUGAUCGUCACUCGAAGGAUUUCUGUAACUGAAGCCUUUACAGGCUACACUGUCCAUCUUACAACCUUGGAUGGCAGGAAUUUAACCCUUCCGAUCAACGAUGUGAUCCAUCCCAACUAUCAGAAGGUUGUCCCGAAUGAAGGGAUGCCGAUCCUCGGCGAUCCAUCAAAGAGAGGGAUUUUGAAAAUCAAGUUCGAUAUCAGGUUCCCAACAAGGAUUAAUGCAGAGCAGAAGGCAGGAAUCAGGAGACUCUUUGGUCCUUGAGAUCUCUAUGUCAGCAUGCGAGACAUCUCCUAUGUGAAGGAAGCCUUUGGAUUGGUAUCCUCUUGCUGCAGUUUGUGAUAAAUUGCAGUGUUAUUUGACAGUUUCAGACUUUUAAGUUGUAUAUAUAUGAAGUAUGAAAUCUUUCUGAGAUGUUUAAUGUAGGGUUUGGCCAGCUUCUUAAUUAUGGUGUCAAUGGAAAAUGCUUCCCCUUGAUUGGUGUUGAACUCUUCCUUUCUUCAGUUCAAAAGGUCGAGCAUGGAGAGCAUUUCCCUCCGGCCAUAUCCUGAAACAUGAGUCACUUCCCUGAAACAUGAGUCCUAACAUCACUAUCUGUCAAACAGUGAAAUAAAACUGAGAUAUGAUUAUAUUAUUUAUUAACACAUAUAUUUUUAAGUAAGUUUCUAUCUUGAAAUUUAUAUAAAUUUAUAUUAAAUAUCCUAUCAAAGAAUUAAUUCAAUCUAAAAAUUUAAAAUAUUAAAUAAAAUUUUAAAAUAUGAUUUAUAUUAUUUUAUUAUACUACUUAAUUCAAUAUAUUAAAAUAUAAAAGCAAUAUGUUCCGGCAAUUACUCUAUUUCAUGAUAUAGCUAUCAAAGAGUACUUUCCUGUCAAUACAUGGCCAAAUCUAUCACUCAAAUCAAAAUGCUGUUUACAUCACUGAUUCAAUUUGAAGAACUCCCCCAUUUUUUUCUUAGUUUGGCCGGCCACCUUCAUCACAGGCCACCAUAAUUUCCUUGCUCUCUCCUUCUUCCUUUGCUUUUCUCUCGCUAAGUUCACUUUCCUUCUCUCCACCCUCUCUUAAUUUGACGUUUAAGGCUUUAUUUGUUUUCUGCUAGCUUUCAUGUUAACAAUAAAUAAAACACAACAACAUGUUUGAUAUUAAAAAAAAUAAAGUUUUAUAUUGCAAAAUUCAUUGAAAAACUGAGUUCAAAACAUAAGUUUUAUGUACUAGUUUUUACAUAAUUUUUAAACUAAAUUUCGUAAUUAUUCUUUACUAUUUUUUUUUAUUGUUUGUAAAAAUCCAAAAUAUUUUAUUCAAAUAUUUUAUAUAUUUAUUUUGUUAUAUAUAAACUUUAACUACGGUUUUUAUAAAACAUAUAUUUAAAUCCACCUAACUAUACUAAAAAUAUUUUUUCUAAAUCUAUCUUUUUAAAAUUUUAAUCACAAAAAUUAAAAAGAAAGGUGUUCUCCCCAUUCGUAAACUAGCCUCACAACCCCCUUUUAACUCUGAAUCUCUUGCAAUUUAAAGGAAAAACUAGAGGUAGUUUUGAAAGAAAACCGUCCCCCCUUCUUCCAAUAGCUGUAAUCCUAUUUUAGCCCCCAUUAAAUCUUUUAUUUCUCCCUUAGCUCUUUCCUUAAUCCUUAAGAAUCUAAAUAUUAUAAUUAACCCCAUUUCAAUUUUUUAUUCCAAUUAACUCCUAAAACUAACCUUCCUCUUCUUUUUUUAUUUAUUCUUUUUCUUUAUUACCACGGAACAUUUUCAUUAUUUUUGUCGUUAUUAUUAUGGAGGUUUAUAUGCAGUGUAAUAUAUUAAGGUUUUUUUAACAUGAACAAUAAGCUAUACAAUAUGAUCAAUAUAAAAGAAAAUUAAAAACCAAAGAACUCAAAAGACAAAUCAAAUUAAAUUUGAUAAAUCAAGACACAAUUAUUUAUUUAUAUCAAACUCGGUCUGAUGUCAUGGGUCAAUUCAACGACUCUUCUCGGUCUCCGUUAUCUUAUUUGAUAAAGACUACAAAGGACAAGCAAACGAGGCAUUCACACGUACCUAUCUUUUUCAAUGUUUUCUUCCACAUCACAUGGCCAACAAUUAUCAAUGAGAUGCAAGCAAAUAAUCUAUUUAUUACAUUUUGUUUUUGUGUUUAAAAAUAUUUAAAAAAAAUUAUAUUUUUUUUAUUUACCAACUUAAUCUUUUAAUUAAAUAAAUUAAUUGAAGAAAAAAAAGGUAAGUGUUGGAGUUUGUGUCUCCUAAGCAAAUCAUAACAACUUAAGCAUAAUGUUGUGCCUAGCCAGUCACCGUCCUUCAAUUUCUCCACCACUUUAAAAGCAUGAGAGGUACGUAGGACAAUUACUUUUCCUUUUCCUUUAAGAGCAGUUGCGUUACACUGAGCUGGAACAAUUCUCUUCGCCUUUCUUUCAUCCACCUUCUAUCAACGAGAUGACUAGUCAGAGGAGGGCAACAGCUGAUGAUGUCUUUGCUGAAUUUUUCGGGUCUAAUAGCCCAAAUCAAAACAGUAGAGGAACAGGGUUCUCCAGGAACAUAAAUGGCGAUGAUAAUGAUAUCUUUAGAUCCUUUGAACAAAGCUUCGUGGUUAGUGCUCCUGGAAAAGAUCCUGCAAUUAAGCACACCCUGCCUUGUAGUCUUGAAGAGCUUUAUCAAGGGGCUACCAAGAGGGUAAAAAUAACUAGACAAGUAGCUGAUCGAAGGGGGUAAGUGUCCUAAACAUCACCUCUUUGGUCCUGUUUUAUGGUCAUCUAGUCCUGCUUUAUGGUCAACUGGUCCUGUUUUAUGGUCAACUGCUUCGUGGUUUUGAUCAAACAUGUUGACUCUGAUCACUGGUCCUGGACUUGAUAUGCUUUCCUGUUGUCAAAGAUUUGUGUGAGAUAGUUAUUUUUUUUUAAUCAUUUUACAGUCUACUGAAAGGUCCAAGAGCUUUGUUAAUGGUGUUUCUUGUGCUCUUUCUUUUUUGUGGGAUGGAGCGCAGCUUGUCCAGGAAAAUAGAGGAGAUUCUAACCAUUGACACAAAGCCUGGUUGGAAGAAAGGCACGAAGAUCACUUUCGAAGAGAAAGGGAACGAAAGACCAAAUGUAACACCUGCUGAUGUUGUCUUCAUUGUUGAUGAAAAACCCCACUCUGAGUUUACUCGUGAUGGAAACGACUUGAUCGUCACUCGAAGGAUUUCUGUAACUGAAGCCUUUACAGGCUACACUGUCCAUCUUAUUACCUUGGAUGGCAGGAAUUUAACCCUUCCGAUCAAUGAUGUGAUCCAUCCCAACUAUCAGAAGGUUGUCCCGAAUGAAGGGAUGCCGAUCCUCGGCGACCCAACAAAGAGAGGGAUUUUGAAAAUCAAGUUUGAUAUCAGGUUCCCAGCAAGGGUUAAUGCAGAG